UCCAGUUUAAUGAAAGCUUAGAUGUCCCUGC
RNAcentral lists this non-coding RNA (31 nucleotides) under Mus musculus (house mouse). Lineage: Eukaryota; Metazoa; Chordata; Mammalia; Rodentia; Muridae. RNAcentral also lists the same sequence under 1 other name. The record is from RNAcentral.